GAAUCGCCAGCUGGCCGAGAUGGAGGCUGAGAGGGACAGCGCAACCUCGAGGGCCAGGCAGCUGCAGAAGGCGGUGGCUGAGAGUGAGGAAGCCCGGCGCAGUGUGGAUGGGCGGCUGAGCGGGGUCCAGGCGGAGCUGGCGCUGCAGGAGGAGAGUGUGCGGCGCAGUGAGCGGGAGCGCCGGGCCACGCUGGACCAGGUGGCCACACUGGAGAGGAGCCUGCAGGCCACUGAGAGCGAGCUCCGGGCCAGCCAGGAGAAGAUCAGCAAGAUGAAGGCCAAUGAGACAAAGCUGGAGGGCGACAAGCGGCGCCUGAAGGAGGUUCUGGACGCCUCCGAGAGCCGCACUGUCAAGCUGGAGCUGCAGCGGCGCUCGCUUGAGGGGGAGCUGCAGCGCAGCCGCCUGGGCCUCAGUGACCGCGAGGCCCAAGCCCAGGCCCUCCAGGAUCGGGUGGAUUCCCUGCAGAGACAGGUGCUGCGGCAGCGGCAGGAGGGUGAGGCUGCAGCCCUGAACACCGUCCAGAAGCUGCAAGACGAGCAGCGGCUGCUGCAGGAGCGCCUGGGAAGCCUGCAGCGCGCCCUGGCUCAGCUGGAAGCCGAGAAGCGGGAGGUGGAGCGCUCAGCCCUGCGGCUGGAGAAGGACCGUGUGGCCCUCAGGAGGACGCUGGACAAGGUGGAGCGGGAGAAGCUUCGUAGCCAUGAGGACACAGUGCGGCUGAGCGCAGAGAAGGGCCGCCUGGACCGCACCCUCACGGGGGCUGAGCUGGAGCUGGCAGAGGC
RNAcentral lists this small RNA (780 nucleotides) under Pan troglodytes (chimpanzee). RNAcentral describes it as "processed transcript". The record is from RNAcentral. Lineage: Eukaryota; Metazoa; Chordata; Mammalia; Primates; Hominidae.